This 497-nucleotide ribosomal RNA is filed under the name uncultured bacterium. RNAcentral's name for it is "partial 16S ribosomal RNA". It matches the Rfam family "Bacterial small subunit ribosomal RNA", at positions 28 to 507 of the family's 1533-position model. The record is from RNAcentral.
GAUGAACGCUGGCGGCGUGCCUAAUACAUGCAAGUCGAGCGAACAGACGAGGAGCUUGCUCCUCUGACGUUAGCGGCGGACGGGUGAGUAACACGUGGAUAACCUACCUAUAAGACUGGGAUAACUUCGGGAAACCGGAGCUAAUACCGGAUAAUAUAUUGAACCGCAUGGUUCAAUAGUGAAAGACGGUUUUGCUGUCACUUAUAGAUGGAUCCGCGCCGCAUUAGCUAGUUGGUAAGGUAACGGCUUACCAAGGCGACGAUGCGUAGCCGACCUGAGAGGGUGAUCGGCCACACUGGAACUGAGACACGGUCCAGACUCCUACGGGAGGCAGCAGUAGGGAAUCUUCCGCAAAGGGCGAAAGCCUGACGGAGCAACGCCGCGUGAGUGGUGAAGGUCUUCGGAUCGUAAAACUCUGUUAUUAGGGAAGAACAAAUGUGUAAGUAACUAUGCACGUCUUGACGGUACCUAAUCAGAAAGCCACGGCUAACUACGUG